This 75-nucleotide ribosomal RNA is filed under the name Flavobacteriales bacterium TMED191. RNAcentral's name for it is "partial 16S ribosomal RNA". It matches the Rfam family "Bacterial small subunit ribosomal RNA", at positions 1 to 70 of the family's 1533-position model. Lineage: Bacteria; Pseudomonadati; Bacteroidota; Flavobacteriia; Flavobacteriales. The record is from RNAcentral.
UUUUUACAAUGAAGAGUUUGAUCCUGGCUCAGGAUGAACGCUAGCGGCAGGCCUAACACAUGCAAGUCGAGGGGU